UAAAGGUUUAAAUGAGUUUAGGUUCUCGAGCUCUCGUCUAAUAUUCUAUUCUCCAAAGUUUCAUUAUUGGAGGUUGUGCUUUUGUUUAGUAUUAAACUGUUUUGUUUGAGGAGAUUGAUUCUUAUUCAUGAGUGUUGUUUUGAAACACGAAAAUGGUGGUCUAGCAGAAAUAAAACAAAACGGAGAAUGGUCUCACAUGAUAUCACUGUCAAGCGGAGAAUCUGAGGAACUAAAUGAUGAUUGGCAAAGACAAGCAUCAGGGCUGCUCGUCUCAAUUCCGACAACAUUUGUUGUUUUUUUUUUGGUUCGUUUCUUUAGAGUUGUUGUUAGAAUUCCAGAGUGAUUCAAAGACUUCGUCAUGGCUGAACCUGCAAAUUGAAGGAUUUAAAAUGUUUGGUGAGAGUUUAUUUUUAUUUGCAUUGGAUUUUCUUUAUUUGGUUUGAAUGAUUGUUAAAUAGUUUUGUGUGUUUCUUACAUUGGGAUUCUUUGAUGGUGACUUUGCCCAUAGUGUAUGUAUAUUCUAGACCUCCAGCCUGGACCAUUUCGAGCAAAGUGUUAGUAUAUAUUAUCUUUCUUUGGAAGUAAGUUUAGAAGUUUACCGUUGGUGUUUGGUAGUUCAUUGUAGAUUUCCUUGUAGACUAUAUUUCUAACUCCACCUGUUUGUGGGUCUUCUCCUUGUAGAAUGGUUAGGCCAUUAGGUGCGGUAACUCUAGAAAGAGCAACGUAGAGUUGUCCAUGGCUGAAAACCGGAUUUGGUAAAUAGAGGACAACUGUUUUCAAGCUUUAUCCUUGACUUUUGUUAAUCGUCAUGGUGUAGCAAACUCUUACUGGAAACUGUCGUCUCCGAAGUGUGAAUGGAUGGUCUGUUUGUGUUUGUGACAAAAUGAUCCUUGGAGCAUUAUAGGGACUCCUUUUUUAGGCUGAUUUUGUGCUUUGGCAAACCUGGAAACUCUAAAUACUCUACCGGGUAAAGUGCUUCAUAAUCUGCUCCAUCUGUGUCUGCUUUUCCAAUGCUAUCUGAGCUGAAGUAUUCUUUUGAUUCUCCUUUAACCUUAGAUAACAUGUAUGCAUUUAUAUCAUCUACAUACUCAUUCCGUGGAGUGAGGAUUGCUCGUUCUGUCAAGUAUUCAAAGGUGGUCUGGGAGAUUUUAUUUCCUGGAUAUGCUGCCUCAGUGAUUAGUUGGAGGAAUUCCAUAAAUAUGAGUGGCUUAUAGCUGCAAGUACCGUAUCUGCUCUUGUUCCAUGUGGUAUGACCGGUAGUAUCUGCCUAAAAACUCCUCCAAGAAUUACGGUUUUCCCACCAAAUGGUUUUUCGCUUGCUAAACAUUCUUCAGUGGAGAGCAAGUCUCUUAAUGUUCUAUCUAGUGCCUCAAAUGUGUGGCGAUGUGACAUCAGUGCUUCGUCCCAUAUCAUCAAAUCUGUUUUGAUUAGUUGCACCGCAAGCAUUGUUCCUUUCUUAAUAUCACAUAUUGAAUCUUCAGGAACAAUUAGGGUUUUCACAAAUAAUAAAAGCCGCUUCUUCCUCUUCUUUAGUUCAACGCUUCUUCUUUAUUUCUUCUUCAUGUUUCUAUCUUUCUACUUCAUUAUGGUUCGAUGUUGCUAUUUUGCUACCAUCUAAAGAUACCCCUUUUUGCUAACUAUGAAGUCAGGUAUACCUUUUUUGCAUCUCUCUCUUCCUCACUUUGCAUCUCUCUCCUCCUGAUCUAUUAUUUUCUGAUUUUAUAGCAAAGAUUUCAAAGAAAAAGAAGAUCUUGGCAAAUCCGCUGGUUUCUCUAUCCCACCGCCACCGCUUCACCUUAUCCCACCGCCACCGCCACCGCCAUUCCUCCGCUGUCUUUUAACUACAACGCAGCUCUUCUAAUUGAUGAAAUCCAGAUUGCUAAAGAAAAGGCACAAGAGUUCUCUACUCAAUAGUGUUGAUAAUGGUGCUUCUUAUGAUUAUAGUGACAGAUCUAGUAUUUAGCUCAUCUGGUUUGUUCUUUCAAAGAGAAGAUGUAUUGAAAGCAACGAUGUUUGUCUAUUUUGGUUUAGGUUGAUAUUGUAGAUAUUUAAUUUU
Molecule: long non-coding RNA, 2056 nt
Organism: Capsella rubella
Lineage: Eukaryota; Viridiplantae; Streptophyta; Magnoliopsida; Brassicales; Brassicaceae
Exons: 5
Source: RefSeq, a predicted model, not a curated record